This 24-nucleotide non-coding RNA is filed under the name Arabidopsis thaliana (thale cress). RNAcentral also lists the same sequence under 1 other name. Lineage: Eukaryota; Viridiplantae; Streptophyta; Magnoliopsida; Brassicales; Brassicaceae. The record is from RNAcentral.
AGCGGCCGUCGGUGCAGAUCUUGG